CGGUGGCGAUAGCGGAGGGGAAACACCCGUUCCCAUUCCGAACACGGAAGUUAAGCCCUCCAGCGCCGAUGGUACUGCAUAAGCGGGAGAGUAGGUCGCUGCCGGAAUA
This 109-nucleotide ribosomal RNA is filed under the name Caldanaerobacter subterraneus subsp. pacificus DSM 12653. The record is from RNAcentral. Lineage: Bacteria; Bacillati; Bacillota; Clostridia; Thermoanaerobacterales; Thermoanaerobacteraceae.